UACGUAGGGUGCAAGCGUUAAUCGGAAUUACUGGGCGUAAAGCGUGCGCAGGCGGUUCGCUAAGACAGAUGUGAAAUCCCCGGGCUUAACCUGGGAACUGCAUUUGUGACUGGCGGGCUAGAGUAUGGCAGAGGGGGGUAGAAUUCCACGUGUAGCAGUGAAAUGCGUAGAGAUGUGGAGGAAUACCGAUGGCGAAGGCAGCCCCCUGGGCCAAUACUGACGCUCAUGCACGAAAGCGUGGGGAGCGAACAGG
Molecule: ribosomal RNA, 253 nt
Filed under: uncultured bacterium
Lineage: Bacteria
Description: partial 16S ribosomal RNA
Rfam family: Bacterial small subunit ribosomal RNA
Source: RNAcentral